RNAcentral lists this long non-coding RNA (351 nucleotides) under Gorilla gorilla gorilla (western lowland gorilla). Its description in RNAcentral is "lncRNA (ENSGGOG00000044532.1)". The record is from RNAcentral. Lineage: Eukaryota; Metazoa; Chordata; Mammalia; Primates; Hominidae.
AUUGUUGUAGGUAAACAAUUUAAUAAUAUGUGGGAUUUUUCCCCCCAUUUUUUAGGGGUCUAGCUAUAUUGCUAAGGCUGGAUUUGAACUCCUGGGCUCAAGUGAUCCUCCCACCUCAUCCUCCCAAGUAGCUGGAGCUACAGACAUGCACCACCAUGCCCAGCAACCUCACUUUCUAUUUGGAAAACCAAGACAAAAAGAGAAAUAUGAUGGACUGUUUUUAGGGCAUUUAAAAUGCUAAAGAAUGAACAAAACUGCAGUGUCACAGAACUUCCAUGAAGACAAUAGAAGGAUGAAUAGUAAAGUGUGCUAAUCCCACCUAAAGUUAGUAGGGCCCAAAACCAAGAGAAG